RNAcentral lists this transfer RNA (74 nucleotides) under Ehrlichia chaffeensis str. Arkansas. It matches the Rfam family "tRNA". From Rfam's summary of the family: Transfer RNA (tRNA) molecules are approximately 80 nucleotides in length. Their secondary structure includes four short double-helical elements and three loops (D, anti-codon, and T loops). Further hydrogen bonds mediate the characteristic L-shaped molecular structure. tRNAs have two regions of fundamental functional importance: the anti-codon, which is responsible for specific mRNA codon recognition, and the 3' end, to which the tRNAs corresponding amino acid is attached (by aminoacyl-tRNA synthetases). tRNAs cope with the degeneracy of the genetic code in two manners: having more than one tRNA (with a specific anti-codon) for a particular amino acid; and 'wobble' base-pairing, i.e. permitting non-standard base-pairing at the 3rd anti-codon position. The record is from Rfam by way of RNAcentral. Lineage: Bacteria; Pseudomonadati; Pseudomonadota; Alphaproteobacteria; Rickettsiales; Anaplasmataceae.
GUGCCCGUAGCUCAGCUGGAUAGAGCACCAGCCUUCUAAGCUGUGGGUCAGGGGUUCGAAUCCCUUCGGGCACA